RNAcentral lists this ribosomal RNA (578 nucleotides) under Lactarius hatsudake. Its description in RNAcentral is "eukaryotic LSU rRNA". The stretch from base 165 to 318 matches the Rfam family "5.8S ribosomal RNA". Lineage: Eukaryota; Fungi; Basidiomycota; Agaricomycetes; Russulales; Russulaceae. The record is from RNAcentral.
CAAAAGUCGUGCACGCCGGAGCACGUCCUCUCUCUCACAUAAAAUCCAUCUCACCCUUUUGUGCACCACCGCGCGGGCACCCUUUGGGAUGCUUGCGUUUUCACACAAACCCCUUUUAAAAAAGUGUAGAAUGACCCCACUUUGCGAUGACACGCAAUCAAUACAACUUUCAACAACGGAUCUCUUGGCUCUCGCAUCGAUGAAGAACGCAGCGAAAUGCGAUACGUAAUGUGAAUUGCAGAAUUCAGUGAAUCAUCGAAUCUUUGAACGCACCUUGCGCCCCUUGGUAUUCCGAGGGGCACACCCGUUUGAGUGUCGUGAAAAUCUCAACCUUCUCGGUUUUCUUCUGGACACCGAAGGAGGCUUGGACUUUGGAGGCCUUUGCUGGCGUCUCUCUAGAGCCAGCUCCUCUUAAAUGAAUUAGCGGGGUCCUCUUUGCCGAUCCUUGACAUGUGAUAAGAUGUUUCCAUGACUCGGUUUCUGGCUCUGUUGCAUUUGGGACCUGCUUCUAACCGUCUCGACGAGACGAUGUUUGGGAGUGUCUCCCUUCUCAGGAGACUCUCUCGACCCCACGAACC